Molecule: ribosomal RNA, 239 nt
Filed under: uncultured bacterium
Lineage: Bacteria
Description: partial 16S ribosomal RNA
Rfam family: Bacterial small subunit ribosomal RNA
Source: RNAcentral
CCGGCGCACGGUGAGUAACACGUACCCAACCUGCCGUCUACUCUUGGCCAGCCUUCUGAAAGGAAGAUUAAUCCAGGAUGGCAUCAUGAGUUCACAUGUCCGCAUGAUUAAAGGUAUUUUCCGGUAGACGAUGGGGAUGCGUCCAUUAGAUAGUAGGCGGGGUAACGGCCCACCUAGUCAACGAUGGAUAGGGGUUCUGAGAGGAAGGUCCCCCACAUUGGAACUGAGACACGGUCCAA